AGCGAACGCUGGCGGCGUGCCUAACACAUGCAAGUCGAACGUGAAAGGGAGCAAUCCCACGUAAAGUGGCGUACGGGUGAGUAACACGUAGGUAAUCUACCCUAGAAUCUCGAUUAACCGGCCGAAAGGCUGGCUAAUACUGGAUAGAGCGACGGCACCCGUAAUUGGGUUUUUCGGGAAAGGGUGCCUGUAAAAAGGCCUUCGUUCUGGGAUGAGCCUGCGUCCCAUCAGCUAGUUGGUGAGGUAAAAGCUUACCAAGGCAAUGACGGGUAGCUGGUCUGAGAGGACGAUCAGCCACACUGGAACUGAAACACGGUCCAGACACCGACAGGAGGCAGCAGCGGGGAAUCUUGCGCAAUGGACGAAAGUCUGACGCAGCGACGCCACGUGAGUGAAGAGGGCCUUCGGGUUGUAAAGCUCUGUCGAGUGGGACGAAAAUGCUUGGAGUUCACAGCGCCAGGAACUGACGGUACCACUAAAGGAAGCACCGGCUAACUCCGUG
RNAcentral lists this ribosomal RNA (502 nucleotides) under uncultured bacterium. RNAcentral describes it as "partial 16S ribosomal RNA". It matches the Rfam family "Bacterial small subunit ribosomal RNA", at positions 29 to 507 of the family's 1533-position model. The record is from RNAcentral.